Molecule: long non-coding RNA, 916 nt
Organism: Vigna radiata var. radiata (mung bean)
Lineage: Eukaryota; Viridiplantae; Streptophyta; Magnoliopsida; Fabales; Fabaceae
Exons: 2
Source: RefSeq, a predicted model, not a curated record
AUUGUGAACANCUCGACACCCCAACCACUGCUAGUCGAAAACACCGCUGGUGACACCGACCGUCGCCGUUGACAGAGGUUUCACCAACGCACUCGUCUUCGUUUUUUUUUUUUUUUUACUUCUCCACACGAGUCCAUCGUCCACCAUGAAUGCGAGGCCAAACUCUAGGUUGGGGUUUCUCUCUUCACGGCGCCGCUGCCCUAGUCGCCGCCCAAGGCGUUGCCAGAGNCGCCGUUCACCGUNGGCGCCCUUGCCGGCCAGAGCCCAAAGCUACCCUUCUCUCCCUCUGAUCCAACGCGACCCAGAAGUUGAGGGUAGGGGUCAUGAUAUGUGAAUAGAGAUAGGAAAUAUGGUGGAGAUGGAGGUUAUGAAGUGAGGUUCUGUUUCUGUUUUGGUUCUCUGUUUUUGGUUGGUCAUACAACAAUGGUGGAAUGGUUGUUGGUGUUGACAGAGAAUGGAGAGGGAUUGGGCGGAGGCUAUCCAGUGAGUGGUUGAAGCAAUGAAGCGUAGUCGAUGAUGAUGAAUACCGCGGUGGUGAUGAGGAUGAAGGUGUGGAUUGUGUGUGUUGCGUGAUAGUUACCUGAUGAAGGAAUUGGUUUCUGAGAGUCUUUCUAUUGAGUAAAAUGGAGGAAUGAAUGGAUNNAGGUAGUUUUUUCUUGAGCAUAGCAGAGGGAUNGAGCCAAAAAGGGUGGUGUCGUGUGUGUCAUCAAUUCUGUUGGGUCCUGAGGUGUAGUGAGGAUGAUGGCAUUUGGCUGGCGUGAUGAAGCCUGGUGUGGCAUGAGUGAUGAUUCUGUUAAGGUGGAGGAUGGAUUGAGAAUUGGUGAGUCCGAGAGGAAUUGUCUGUUGUGCCUCUUCCAUCCAUCAACAUUCUGUUUUGCCUCUCACGAAUAGAUCACGUUGCCCUUUUCUUUUUUUU